This 507-nucleotide unclassified non-coding RNA is filed under the name Talaromyces assiutensis. RNAcentral's name for it is "partial contains ITS 1, 5.8S rDNA and ITS 2". The stretch from base 177 to 330 matches the Rfam family "5.8S ribosomal RNA". The record is from RNAcentral. Lineage: Eukaryota; Fungi; Ascomycota; Eurotiomycetes; Eurotiales; Trichocomaceae.
GGGCCCGCUCUGGGCCCAACCUCCCACCCGUGUCUCUUGCGUACUUUGUUGCUUUGGCGGGCCCACUGGGUCACUCCGGUCGCCGGGGAGCGCUAUGCUCCCGGGCCCGUGCCCGCCAGAGCACCCCUGUGAACCCUGAUGAAGAGAGGCUGUCUGAGUCCCACGAUAAUCGUUAAAACUUUCAACAAUGGAUCUCUUGGUUCCGGCAUCGAUGAAGAACGCAGCGAAAUGCGAUAAGUAAUGUGAAUUGCAGAAUUCCGUGAAUCAUCGAAUCUUUGAACGCACAUUGCGCCCCCUGGCAUUCCGGGGGGCAUGCCUGUCCGAGCGUCAUUUCUGCCCUCAAGCGCGGCUUGUGUGUUGGGCGUGGUCCCCCUGGCUUUGGCGGGGACCUGCCCGAAAGGCAGCGGCGACGUCCCGCCUAGUCCUCGAGCGUAUGGGGCUCUGUCACGCGCUCGGGAGGGACUGGUGGGCGUUGGUCACCCCUUAUUCUUUCCACGGUUGACCUCG